UUCUCAAGCACCAGAAGAAGCAACAAUAAACAAGCUGGAGGGAUAACUUUCUCUCAGAUUCUCAAAGAUAGAUGAUCAUGACACCAAAAGAUGGAUAUAUCUGUAUGCGAAAUUAUAACUGAUCUUGAGCUAUUCCAGAAGUACUUGUGUUGUGUUAUAUUUGCUGCAAAAUUAUGUUGGGGCUGUCAUGAACUGUUGUUGCUGCGAAAGAUCAUGUUGUCAUGAUAAAUUAUGAUUCCUGGGAUUUGGGAUUCGAAGUCAUGUUGUUAUGAUAAAUUAUGAUGUUGUUGUGAUGAUAUAUUGAUAAUGCUGCUAAAUUAUUCCCCUGUAGCAGCUUUUCUCAUUUUUAUUAGGUGGCCUUUACAAUUCUGUAGCAAGGAUAUAAGGGAGUUAGUUACAUUGUAAAGAUUGAAUUUUUAGAUGUUCUACACCAUGUUAUGUCAAUCUGACAAACCCUGCCUACCAAACAGAAAUUUUAAACGAAGAGGAUUGGGGAUGGAGGGGUUUUGGGGAUUCAAGGGGUUUUGAGGGGAUUGGGUGGAAGGGAGGGAUUCACCAAAUCCUCCCAAAUCCCCGCCUCCGAAAUCCUCCCAAAUCCCUUUGUGCCAAACAAGGCCUAAGGGUUGUUGCUAUUUGUGGUGAUUAUGCAUGACCCAAGCUUGCUCUUUAUCCUCUUGGUGGAAGAAGUUUUCAUCUCUUUGGUGCUCUCAAUCAAAUCAAUGGUUUCCAUUAGUGGCCGGUUGUCACCUCAUAGUCUUGAGAUGUUUUCCAUAAGCCCACAACAAGCUUGUGCUUCUCGUUGUUGAUUUUCCAACAACUACGUUCGAUUCUUCUUUGCAAGGAUUCUUUCCAAGUUCAUUUGUGGCACAAGUUGUCAUUUUCUUCUCCGUCCCUUUAUCCCAACGGUCUAGCUUCUAUUCUUUCGUUACGAAGGCAUUGUGAUGUUGUGCUCUUCACCCAUCACCUCGUUUUGUGAGGAUCGUGUUCUUUUCUUGCUUAUCCAUUUAACAGGAGUGUUGUAUCAUCUCUUCAAUAUCUUUUCAUCUCAUCAAGUUUUUCUUCUCUUUUCUACCGGAGUGCUGUCCAAAUUAUGUCAUUCUUGUUCCUUGGCUAUCUCAUUAUACCGAGGUGGUCAUAUUCUUUUCGUUCGUGAAGCUCUUAUUUCCAUAUCUUUCAACCUUCAAGUUCUCGUAAUACUCCUUGUUCCUCUUUUCUAACAGAUUGUUUGCAAUCUCGUUCAUCUCUGUUGUACUCUUUCUUCUAAAUUUCUCAACCUCUCAAGGUUCAUGGUUUCACUCGUUCGUCAAAGAAGCAACUUAGUUUACCUCUUAUCUUCCUCUUCCUUUUCCCUCCGGUGCCAUCCUAGAUCUCGGGACAAGAUCCUCUCAUAGUGGUGGAGUGUUGUAACGCCCCGGAUACAACUUUCCAUAUUCGUAACUCCAACUCUUGCCUUUUCCGGAGAUGCGAUAUGAUUUUUCCUUCGUGGUUGGGUUUUUAUCUUUGGUUUUGCUUUUGUUCAUGUCUUGCAUUUCAUAUCAUAGCAUCAUGCGCAUUGCAUCCGCAUGUUUUCAUAAAACCUCAUACCCAUUCGUAGUUGCCGCAUUCCCCUUGCCUCCUUUGACCGUUCUGAGACCAACCACCCCCUUGCACGCGAUCGCCUUGUUUCUCUGCAUAGCGCAUAGACCCCUCGCGCGUGUCCGAAACCAUCUUCCGAACCCGACCCGCACGGUCAUAACCGAUGAGUCCGAAUCAUCCCCCAACAUCUAUAAAACAUCUCCGUUUUCGUUUUUGGACCCCCUAGCCUAUUUUUCUCGACCGCCCGAUUUCGAUCGGACGUACCAAAUUAACCCCUACCCUAAUCCCCUUAUUGUAUAAAUAGUCGCCUAACCCUAGAUCCUAGGGGCUUGUCCCAUCCAUUCCCCUCCUUGCACCGCCACUAGCUCCACCUGGUCUCCUUCUUCCUCGGGAUCCCUCCCGAUCCCCUCGAUUCACCUAGCCAGCGCCUCCUCCUCAAUUUCAGCGCCACCAAACCAAAUCACGGCAGCCGAGCGCCUUCCCCUUCCUCUGCCAGCUCGAUCUCCCGCAUCCCCGACUCCCGAGCUCCUUGAUCGUCGCCAGCGCACCCAGCAGAUGAGCGACGUCCCUGCUCCUUUUUCCUCCCUCCUCUGCUCCUCUCUCACUGCUCUUCUCCCCACCCCCCGUUUCUUUCUCUACAGGAGGAAAGCACCACGCCACGGCCUCCCCAAGCUCUACUUCAUCCCCGUCUUGGGUCCAUGAGGAGACAACCACGCCGGCCGCCCUUCCCCAUCUCGAUCGGGUCCAGGACCCCGCCGCCUCCAGCCAUCUCUCCGCGGUCAUGGCCCUGAUGGGGGUUCCCUGCCCCGAGCCUCUGUCACGACCAGCACCCGACCAGCAGGUCACCAGCGCGCCCGAUGCCUCCUCCUCGGGCAUGCCUGGCCGCGCCACCGGACCCCCAGGUCGUCCCGCUCCCUGCCAUCUCCCUCCUCUCGCUUUCUCUGCCUCCUCUAGAUGCCUCUCACCUCUCGGCCUCUCUCUCUGUUCAAGAAGGAGCACACCAGCGCCAUGGAAGCCUCCCGAUGGACCCCGGCCUCCUCCCCGCCUCACCGGAGCAAGCCAGCAGGCAGGUCGCCCUUCUCGCGCCCCAGCCCUCUCUCUUUUCCCCCUCUCCAUCUCACCGUCUCUCUCUCUAAUCUCUCCGCUCUCUCUUCCUUUGCCCAGAGGAACCCCCAUGGACGCCAUGUUCGAGCUUUGCCUCACUGCCGUUUUGCGCCCGUACCAGCCGGGAAAUGGAUGGAUCCGUCUUCCCCGUGUUCAUCCUCAUGCCGCUCCAGCCCCGCUCUAGUCCCGCGCCAAGUUGUCGUCCCCUUCCUCUCCUGAAGCCGUCGCCCCGCCAAGUACCUCGUCCUCCUCUACUUCGAGCAGGAGGACAAGACGCCCCGAUCUGCGCCUCCCCUUGCCGGAUUUGGACCCCGGCGCCUCCCCGCGCUCCGUUCCGCCCGUUCCGGCCGGUUCCAGCCGAUUCUGUCGCCAGGACACCCCCUGCGUCUUCCUCUCCAUCGCCAUGGUCCUGCUGCUGCUUGUGUUCUUCAGAAACGAGAGCAACAGCUUGCUCAUUCCGAGCGUUGACCGCACCUGCAGUGCCUGGGCCAGCAGCCUCCAAGCCCAGCAACCAGCCUCCCAGCGCCCUCUCCACCGAACGGGCCAAGGCCCAUGGGUGAGCCGCCCCUCCAGUUCCCCUGUUCCUGUUGGGCCAGCAAGUUUUAGCCCUGGAUGUUUUUUUUACCUGUCUGCGAAUUUGCUAAUUAUCCAGAGUAUUGCAGUUUUACAGAAAACCUCUGUUCUUCAUGCAUUUAAUAACUCACAAACCAUGCAUCGGAUUAAAAUGAUUUUAACAUGUAAAAUGCUUAGAAUUUCAUCUAGUUUCAUAAUAUUCAAUUUCUAUCCAUGUAUGAAAUGUUUAAACUGCUGUUUGUUUAAAUUUGCUCAAAUACCAUGCUAAAAUGAUUUAUUUCAUAACUAAUUAACCGUAGCUCCAUUUUAAAUAAACUUUAUAUGUAAAUGGGGUGGAAAAAUGCCUAGUUUAACAUGGUGGAUUUUAUUUUCCUAUUUAACAACCUUAAAAUAUGGUUUAGGGAAGAACAGUACCAAAUUCAUAAUUUGCAUAUGGGGAUUUUUCCGGAAUUGUUGUUUGUUGUUUCCGGCCUCAUUUAAACUUGCCUAGAUAGGUAGUUUCAUUAUGCUUCACCCCUUGCCAUGUUUAACAACAUUUAAUAUUGUUGAGUAGCUUAUACGAGAUUAAACUAAAUAUGUCAAUGUGGUGUUUUGUCAAUAUGCAACUCGUUGCAUAUUGAGCUCCACUUAACUUGUAGUAUUGUUUGUUGCACUUUGCCAUGCCCUGCCUCAUUAAACCAGACAUGCAUCAUACUUGUUUGUGCAUCAUGCCAUGCUUAUGAUUGUGCAUUUACCAUGUUGUUUGUUUCUUUCCAGUGUUGCUUCUUAGUUCCAGUAAUGUUGCGAUUGUGAGGAUUCGUUCGACUACUCCCGUUCGUCUUCUUCAUGGACUCGUUCUUCUUCCUAGCGGAAUUUCAGGCAAGAUGACCGCUACCCUGGAUCUCACUACUAUCAUUGCUAUGCUAGUUGCUUCGUUCUAUCGCUUUGCCCUGCUACCUAUCUCUUGUUGAUCAAGCCACCCAAAUUGCCAUGUCAGCCUCUAACCUUUUCACCCUUCCCAGCAAACCGUUUCUUGGCUAUGUUACUGCUUUACUCAGCCCCUCUUAUAGCGUUGUUAGUUGCAGGUGAAGUUGAAGAUUGCUCCAUGGUGGACAUGAUUAUGUUGGGAUAUCACAAUAUCUCUUAUUUAAUUAAUGCAUCUAUAUACUUGGUAAAGGGUGGAAGGCUUGGCCUUAUGCCUGGUGUUUUGUUCCACUCUUGCCACCCUAGUUUCCGUCAUACCGGUGUUAUGUUCCCGAAUUUUGCAUUCCUUACGCGGUUGGGUGAUUUAUGGGACCCCCUUGACAGUUCGCUUCGAAUAAAACUCCUCCAGCAAGGCCCAACCUUAUUUUUACCAUUUGCCUCACCACCGCCUAUACCCUUCCCUUGGGUCGGCCAACCCGAGGGUCAUGUUUAUUUUAGCCCCCCCCCCCCCGGGCCAGUGCUUCUCUAAGUGCUGGUCCAAACCGAGCAACCUGCAGGGCCACCUCGGGGAAACUCGAGGUCUGGUUUUACUCGUAGCUUGACUUAUCCGGUGUUGCCCUGAGAACGAGAUAUGUGCAGCUCCUAUGGGGAUUGUCGGCACAUCGGGCAGCUUUGCUGGUCUUGUUUUACUGUUGUCGAAAUGUCUUGUAAACCGGGAUUCAGAGACUGAUCGGGUCUUCCUGGGAGAAGGAAUAUCCUUCGUUGACCAUGAGAGCUUGUGAUGGGCUAAGUUGGGACACCCCUGCAGGGUAUAAACUUUCGAGAGCCGUGCCCGCGGUUAUGUGGUAGAUGGGAAUUUGUUAAUGUCCGGUUGUAGAUAACUUGACACCAGAUCCGAAUUAAAAUGCAUCAACCACGUGUGUAGCCAUGAUGGUCUCUUUUCGGCGGAGUCCGGGAAGUGAACACGGUUUUUGGGUUAUGUUUGACGUAAGUAGGAGUUUAGGAUCACCUCUUGAUCAUUGCUAGCUUCAUGACCGUUCUGUUUGCUUCUCUUCUAGCUCUCAUUUGCGUAUGUUAGCCACUAUAUAUGCUUAGUCGCUGCUGCAACCUCACCACUUUACCCCUUCCUUUCCCUUUACGCGUUGCUAGUCUUGAUACCCAUGGUAAUGGGAUUGCUGAGUCCUCGUGGCUCACAGAUUACUACAACAACAGUUGCAGGUACAGUUAUGUGAUGAUCAUGACACGAGAGCGAUGUUUGCUUGUUUUGGAGUUCUCCUUCUGCUUCUUCUUUGUUUAGGGGAUAGGUUCCAGGUCGGCGGCCUGGACUAGCAGGGUGGAUAUCAUUUGAGUUUCUGUUUGUGUUUCAUCCGUAGUCGGAUGGUGCUCUUAUGUAAGAUGAUGUUGUAUUCGUGUGGCAUUGUAUGCCUUUUGUAUGUAUCCCCAUCUAUUAUGUAAUGUUGAUGUAAUGAUAUCCACCUUGCAAAAGCGUAUCAAUAUGCGAUUCUAUCCUUGGUGGGACCUUCGAGUCUCUUUAGGAUAGUAUCGCAUAUUGGGCGUGACAUCGGAACUCCAUGCAGACAUACGAUCCUGGUCAUGUAUAUUUUUGCCAACUUAGCACUGGUGUAAAUGGUCUUCACUCGGAUGAAAUGAGCUACCUUCGUCAAACGAUCGACUACAACCCAUAUCGAGUCAUAGCCUGAACGAGUCUUGGGCAAUCCUGUGGUAAAAUUCAUGCCUAGCUUAUCCCACUUCCAUUCGGGUAUCGGCAAUGGUUGUAGCAAUCCUGCUGGCUUCUGAUGCUCUUCCUUCACUCUCUGACAUACAUCACAAACUGCUACAUACUCCACAAUAUCCUUCUUCAUUUCGGUCCACCAGAAACUGUCCUUCAAAUCUAGAUACAUCUUGGUAUUUCCUGGGUGAAUCGAAUACGACGAAUCAUGGGCCUCUUGCAGAAUCAGCUUCCUGAUCUCUGGAUCAUUUGGCACAUAUACACGGUCCUCAAACCAUAAGGUAUUGUGCUCAUCCUCAUGAAAUCCCUUAGCUUUUCCUUUGCCCAUCCUUUCCUUUAUCUCGGCAAUCUCCUUGUCCGUCUUCUGAGCUUCUCUGAUCUUAUCCAUCAAAGUAGAUUGAAUCUCCAAUGCUUCUACAUAGCCUCUUGGUACUAUCUCAAUACAUAGCUUACGAAGAUCCUCUGCUAACUCCUUGGGUAACUCCCCGGUCAUGAGUGUAUUGACAUGGCUCUUGCGGCUCAACGCAUAGGCUAGUACGUUAGCCUUUCCGGGAUGAUAGUGCAAUCUCAUAUCUUAAUCCUUGAUGAGAUCCAAACAUGUCCUCUGUCUGAGAUUCAACUCCUUCUGCGUGAAGAUAUACUUCAAACUCUUGUUAUCCAUGUACACCUCACAAUGGUUUCUGAUGAGAAAGUGUCUCCAAGUCUUCAACGCAUGCAUUAUGGCUGCUAACUCCAAAUCGUGUGUAGCAUAAUUCAACUCAUGGGGUUUGAGCUGCCGUGAGGCAUAUGAAACAACUCUUCCCUCCUGCAUAAGCACUGCUCCAAGUCCUCGGCGAGAAGCGUCGCAAUACACUUGAUAAUCCUUGCGUUGAUCUGGAAGAAUCAACACUAGAGCUGUAACCAAGCGUUUCUUCAACUCUUGAAAACUGGCCUCACAUUCCUCAGUCCAUUUGAACUUGGUGUCCUUCUUCAACAACUCCGUCAUGGGAUUUGCAAUCUUCGAGAAAUUCUCAAUGAACCUUUGGUAGUAUCCUGCAAGUCCCAGAAAACUCCAGAUCUCUUCAACUGUCGUGGGUGCUUCCCAAUUUGUCACAGUGACAACCUUGGUGGGGUCUACUGCUAUUCCUUCUCCGGAUAUAACAUGUCCGAGGAAUCCAACUUCCUUCAACCAAAACUCACACUUGCUGAACUUGGCAUAUAACUGAUGUUCUCUGAGCUUCCCAAGUACCAAACGCAAAUGCUCCUUAUGCUCCUGUUCAUUCUUCGAGUAGACUAAUAUGUCAUCAAUGAACAGCACGACGAACUUAUCCAAAAACUCCAUAAACACCUUGUUCAUCAUGUUCAUGAAAUAGGCAGGUGCGUUAGUCAGACCAAAUGACAUAACGGUAUACUCAUAUAGCCUGUACCUUGUGGUAAAAGUUGUCUUAGGUAUAUCCUGCUCUCGAAUCUUCAGUUGGUGGUAUCCUGACCGCAGAUCGAUCUUGGAAAAUACUUUAGCUCCUUGCAACUGGUCGAACACAUCAUUGAUCAUCGGCAGUGGGUACUUGUUCUUGAUUGUCACUUCAUUCAAUCCACGAUAAUCAACAACCACCCUCAAUGAUCCAUCCUUCUUCUCCACUAGAAGCACUGGUGAUCCCCAAGGUGACGAACUUGGGUGAAUAUAGCCUUUAUCCAGUAACUCCUUAAUAUGCUUCUUAAUUUCCUCCAAAUCCUUUGCGGGCAUCAUGUACGGUCUUUUAGAUAUUGGCCCUGUGCCUGGCAAAAUCUCAAUCAAAACUCAAUGUCUCUAUCCGGUGGCAUGCCUGGCAACUCUUCUAGAAAUACAUCAGGGAAAUCCUUCACCACUGGUACUUCCUCCUGUAUAACUCCUGAUAAGGAAUUCACUUGAGUCCUCUUCGGCACAUGCCGGGAUACAUACUUAAUCCUCCUUCCUUCUGGGGUGGUAAGCAUAAUCGACUUACUGGCGCAAUUGAUGUUCCCUCCAUACAUCGAUAACCAAUCCAUACCCAAUUCACAUCCAAACCUUGCGACUCUAGAAUUAUCAGGUCUGAGGGUAAAACAUGCCUACCUAUGGUCAAAGGCAUCUAAAAACAUCCUUGGCUUGACAUAUGUUCCGCUCCUGGCAAGCUUACCAACAUAGGUGUUCUAAGAACCUUGGUCGGCAGUUUAUACUUAUCCACAAAUCCCCUUGAUAUGUAUGAAUGUGAUGCACCAGUAUCAAAAAGAAUGAUUGCAGUAAAUGACUUAACCAAAAACUUACCUAUUAUUGCAUCUGGCUGGGCUUCAACCUCCUCCACGUUAACGUGGUUCACUUGUGCCCUGUUGAAAGGGUUGGGCUUCUUCUCAGAGCUUCCAUUGCCAUUUCCAUUCUUUGCUUCAGAACACUCCGUGGCAUAAUGUCCAUUCUUCCCGCACUUGAAACAAGUAAUGUGACUUAGAUCCUUCUUGGCGGGCGUUGCUGGGUUGGAACGGUUCUGACCGUUACUUCCUCCAUUACCAUUCCCAUUCCUGGGGCCACUAUGGUUAUGCGAACUCCCUCCAUUGUGAUUGUGACCUCCAUAGUUAUGUUGAAGGGGUCCUCCCGAGUUCGGGGUAAAACGGGGUCUCUGCGAUGCUCCAGAAUUGUACUUCCCUUGUCCAUACUUCCUCUUGCGGUUGUCAAUCUGCUGCUGCUUCCCUUCAAUCAUGCGAGCUCUAUCUACCAACUCCUGGUAGUUGUUGAAGGUUUCCACCAUCAACUGCAUGCUCAGCUCAUCAUUCAGUCGUUCCAGAAACUUCUCCUGCUUAGCCGCAUCUGUAGCGACGUCAUCUCGGGCAUAACAUGCUAACUUACGAAAAUCAUCCACAUACUGGCCCACUAUGCAUCCUCCUUGGCACAAGUUGCAAAACUCGCACUUCUUCAUGGCCAUAGCUCCUGCUGAAACAUGGGCAGUGUGAAAAGCUUGCUGAAACUGGUCCCAUGUGACAGUGUUGAUGGGGUAGGUGGCUGUGAAAUUCAUCCACCAUGAUGCUGCGGGUCCAUCAAGCUGAUGUGCGGCAAAAUGCACUCUCUCCGCAUCUGUGCAUCCUGUAGUGGUCAACUCCCUUCCACUCUUAUGGAGCCAAUCAUCUGCACAAUCGGAUUGGUACUACUAGAGAACACCGGCGGAUUCAGCCUUAAGAAAUGGGCUAAGUGAUCAACAGGUGGUGUUGGUGGUGGGUUGUUGUUGUUGUUGUUCCCCUGGUUAUGAUUCUGGACUAGUAUCUGCAUCGAAGCAUUCUGCUGCUGGAUUAACUGAGUGAGCUCUGGCGGGAAAGCAAAUCCAUUGUCGCAUCUCGGAGGCAUCUGACGGGUUUAGAAAAGAUGAGAAAACAGAAUAGAAUGAGGUAUAUAGGGAAAUCACUACCCAUACGCACAUGAGACAAACAUAAACAAUACCACUUCAAUCAAUUCAAACAAGGGCAUACAUCGGUCUAACUAUCAUUAAAAAAGUGCUCAGACUAUACUAUAUACAUGGGGGAAUACUACUACUGAUAUGGUGGUUGUCGGUGUCAAAACCGGCGGAUCUCGGUUAGGGGGUCCCGAACUGUGCGUCUAGGCGGAUGGUAACAGGAGACAAGGGACACAAUGUUUUUACCCAGGUUUGGGCCCUCUCGAUGGAGGUAAAACCCUACUCCUGCUUGAUUAAUAUUGAUGAUAUGGGUAGUAUAAGAGUAGAUCUACCACGAGAUCAGAGUGGCUAAACCCUAGAAGCUAGCCUAUGGUAUGAUUGUUGUUCGUCCUAUGGACUAAAACUCUCCGGUUUAUAUAGACACCGGAGAGGGCUAGGGUUACACAGAGUCAGUUACAAUGGGAGAAGAUCUUCAUAUCGUAUCGCCAAGCUUGCCUUCCACGCCAAGGAAAGUCCCAUCCGGACACGGGACGGAGUCUUCAAUCUUGUAUCUUCAUAGUCCGGGAGUCCGGCUAAAGGUCUUAGUCCGGCCAUCCGGACACCCCCUAAUCCAGGACUCCCUCAGUAGCCCCUGAACCAGGCCUUAAUGACGACGAGUCCGGCGUGCAAGUUGUCUUCGGCAUUGCAAGGUGGGUUCCUCCUCCGAAUAUUCCAUAGAAGAUGUUGAACACCAGGGUAGUGUUCGGCUCUGCAAAAUAAGUUCCACAUUCCACCAUAGAGAGAAUAAUAUUUGCAUCAAUCGGAUCUGCUGACAUAUUCCGCGGCGUGACAUCAUGCCACGGCCAGGCUUUUAUUCAUUUUACUGUUCCACCUCAGCGCGUUUAGCGAGGCGGUUUCCUUGGCACGUCUUGUCAAAGCAGAGAUCGUGUCCCCUUAUUCCAGGAUUCUCAUCAAUACGGGCGUGGGUAACCCAACUGUGACUUAGGUAUGACUCCCUAAUUGAAAGCGAGUCUGAAACGGUUACGGGGAGGGCUCUUGGUAUUCACCUCCUUUAUAAAGGAACCAAGGCCUGGCUCCCUUCUUCUCAAACCAAUCAAAUCCGCCCCUCGCUUUGAGUUCCAACACCCAAAGCUCUAGUUUUAGGCGCUUCGGACUUUUGACGAUGUCCGGCUCCGACCUUCAAGGCCGGUGGAUGCCUUCCUCCAUUACGGAAGAAGAUGUACGAAAGCUGAGAGAUGCCAGGUAUCUAACCGACGAAAUCUCGCAUAGACUGCCUGCUCAAGGGCAAGCUGUUCCCGCUCCCCAGCCUGGUGAAAGCAUGGUGUUCGCAUCUCACUUCCUUCGGGGGCUAGGCUUCCCGAUCGAUCCCUUUGUGAGGGGACUUAUGUUUUACUACGGGCUGGAGUUCCACGACCUAGCUCCGGAGUCCAUCCUCCAGAUCUCAUCAUUCAUUGUCGUGUGUGAGGCCUUCCUCCAUAUCACCCCUCACUUCGGAUUGUGGCUAAAAACUUUCGAAGUGGAACCGAAAAUGGUCGAGGGGCAGCACGCUGAGUGCGGAGGGGCUAUAAUAAGCAAGAUGGACGAUGCUCCAUGGCCCGAAGGCUCUUUUCAAGAGGAGCUCGGCUUAUGGCAACGGGACUGGUUUUACAUCACAGCCCCUAGGGGCACCACAUGGGUGGCACCACCUAAUUUUCGCUCGGGUCCCCCACCAUGGCUGGCGUCAUGGGUUAAUGAAGGACUUAUCUGGGGGCCGCCCAAAGACGUGCCCUUGCUGCAGGGUCGUAUUCGAGAUCUUCUAGAAAGAGAUAUCAAUUUGACCGUAGUGGCGGAAGUCAUGGUGAUUCGCCGCACACUGCCCUGCAAAUGUCGACCUCUCCGCUAGUGGGAGUUCAAUCCGGAGGGACCACGAGUCCUACAACAUUUCAUGGGAAUGACACCCGUGGAGAUGUACAAAUUGUUCUUCGGAUCACAAGCAAGGUGUCCAGAUUUGUCCGAGGACGCAGGUCUGAGCUGCAAUCGCCCGGAUGCCAAAGUAAGUAGCCCCGUAUUUGGAUACACCAUCCAUAUUUUUAUCAAAUCUACCCUUUAGCAGGGUUGUCCUUUGAACAGGAGUGGAUGGCGAAGGCAAAGCUUAUCAGGUGUCCAGCCCCCCUGCCCGAGACCGUGCCGAAUCCCAUGCUGACCAGCAUGCUAGAGGUCGCGCCGUUGGCGGAAGGCGAAGGGGGGAACCAAGGACCUACCGCCUCCGCGAAGGAGGCCGUUAGGAAGGGAAGAAUCGAGAAUUCCCCCGACUAGGGAAAGAAAAGGACUGCCUCUGAAGACCCGGAGGUGAUAACCUCAAAACGGGGAAAGAAAUCUUUGUCAGAGGGUUCGGCACCGGAGAGCGCCCCGGCCGAAUCGCCCCCUAAAGGGGACCCGCUCUCCCCCGAGAUGUAAGUGAAGGGAGGGGUUCCAUAAUGAAUCACACUCAUGUUUUAUUCUUGAGGAAAAUAACCGAAACAUUAUCUUGCAGUUCGGAUCUCAACCCUUCUCAGCAGAGCUCAUCUUCAGGGGAUCUUCGUCCAGAGAUGAUAGAGAGCGAAAUGCCUCCCCUUGUUGCACCGUCUCACGAGGCUGGCGACCCCGAGGUAUCGUCCCAGAGGGUUUUUUCAAGUCCGGACCCUGGAAAAGGUCGUCAGGCUAGUCCGGCACCCUCUUGUGCACCGAUGGAGGGGCUGAAGGAUCUGCUUGGUAGGGCAUCCAUCUCAGAAGAACACCGUAUGUUGAUGGAUACGGUGAUUGGAAGGAUUUCAUCCGUGGAAAGCGGAUUGUACGAGGCUACCAGAAGUUUACUAACAGGCUUUGAGGUACGUAAAAAGGUGUACCUUUUGGUAGAGCCGCAUAUUAAAUGUGCCCUGUAUGAAUAGUAGCCCCUGAGACUCUGUGUGUCGUCACGAGUGACGGCGCACAGAGGAUCAUAACCCCAGGUAUAAUAUGUCGCCUAUUCCAUGAAGGUGGCGAGGCGUUCGGUGGCUAGCCGGACUGAUGAAUCUGCCGAACUAAAGCGGCAACUUGACGUAGCAGAUGCCGACAUCGCGCUUGUAAAUAAGCGGCUAGACGAGGCUCAAGGUAUGUUCAAAAGACACCCAGUAAUAAGAGCUCGAUGCUCGGGCCUUAUAUAUAUAUAUACUUUAUGUAGAUGGUGCUACUGCCGCGGAGAACCUUCGGGCGGAACUUGCCCGAGCCAAGGAGCAAGCAAGGAAAAGUGAUGCGGCUGCCGUUAAAGCGGCUGAAGAGCUAAAAGCCAAACAGGCUGCUCACUGCCAGAGCAAGAAGGAAAUAGCCGAGAUGGCCAUAAAUUUGAAGGAUGCUACCGACCGCUAUAAAUUUCUUGAACAAGAAGAUAGGGCGGCUCAGAAGGACCUUGAAAAGAUCACUGCCGAAGCCAAGGAUACUCGCUCUGCAAUGAGAGCGAUGAAGGAGGAGCUGCGUCAGGCCGGAGAUAUCACGGCUGGAAAGCCUUAUAUGCUGUGGAUGAAGUUCGGAGACCCCAAGUAUGUUCCAUUAGACCGGCAGUGGAGUGCAUAAAACGCUUAUCUGGAUUUGGCAGCAAGUGCGGCGGACGCAACCGAACACUUCCGCUGUCGAGGUGACCAUGAAUUGGAAGAGCUUUUUUGGUCGCAGUACCACAAUCCAGAAUGCCCACUGUCAGUAUCCGACCAUUUAGCCGCCUUGGCGGAGCUGAACAGGUUAUCCGGACUCGCCAUGAGGUAUGUUGCGAGUCGUCUGUGGCCGGAGAAGCCGGAGCCGAAGAGUUAUUUUGGCUUGGUGCAGCAGUUCCUUGGUUCGGUGCCGCAUGCUGAUGCAAUGAAGAGGUCGGCGUGCAUAAAGGGCGCACAGAUGGCUCUUGCCCGUGUCAAAACAUACUGGGCAGAUAUGAAGGCCAGUAUUGUUGCGUCCCAGGAUUCGGACGAAAGCCGAGUACCUGCCAAGCACUAUUUUGAGGAAGUUCUUCAUGGCGCUCGUAUAAUAGAGUCGCAGUGCUCGAAGGAUGUUGUGUUCGAAUAGCUUAUACUAUUUGUAAAACGAAUUUUGUUUUUAUGAAAAAAGCUUUUUAUGCUUGUGCUUGCAAGAAUCAUGAUGCCUCAUGUGCGGCCAUUUAAUGUAUAUAUUUGUAUAUAACCUGAAAGAUGGCAGUCGUUGGCUUCAGCCCCCACGCAUAGAAUGCGGGGGUGUUCGCAAAAAAGCGCCUUUUCACACUUAAUCCAACGUCUUGGUCCUACAAAGGAGGUGGUGGCGCGGCGAACUAGGCAACCGGACUAUAAUGCUUUAUCACUUUCACUUAGCCAUAGGAGUUUGACAGUGGGGCUACUGAAUAGCCCCUAGGGGCACCGCGCUCGCCCGAAUUCGGGGCACGAGUGUGCCUGACCGGGAAGCGGCCCUUCGUUAAUGCGGGGGAAUCCUAAAGAUUCCGAAAGUCAUCAAGUGGUUGACCAGUCUCUCGCUAUAUCAUGACAGUUAGUUUUCGGCUUUCUCUACUGAGGUGCUCACCUGGCCGAACCGGGGCACAAUCGCAGUAGUUCUCCUGGUGCCGCGUUAGCCGAUAUAACCGGAACGUAAGGCAGCAAAACAUAGGAGCCGGGCAAACCCAACAUUUGACCAAAGACAUGAUUAGGAGCUGAUGCAUAUAGGGCCAAACUCGGGACGCCGAACACUCCCUAAGGUAUUCGGUCUUUAUGAAGACGGGCCGAAAUAGAGCCCUUGGUAAAAAAGCCCGUAGUGUCCAGGUACGUGCAAAAAUUCUGGCAUGGCCACAUGCCAAGAUGCCAGCCUCCUCCUCGGCUAUAGAGAAAACCGGGGGAUGUUAUCAACAAGAGACAGUAAAAAAGGUUUACGCAGGGUCUUAAUCUGAAAAGAAUCCUUGAAACGGGUCCCUGCUGCACGUCUGCGCCUGUGUCUCCGUUGUGCCGUAUCCUGGACGGGCGUAGCACGAUGUUCGUCUGCGAAAGAGAGGAACUUAGUAAAAUAAGCGUGCGAGAAAUCUAUAUCGAAAUAAAUAAAAUAUAGUUGGAGCAAGAGUUGAGCCGUAUUGUCUCCGGGCGUGAGCACACGAAGCCCCUUGCACGGGGGUAUGCGGCUAUUAAGCAUGUUUACGCCGGACUCGUCGAGCCGUGUCCGGGAUAGUAGGGCUGGAUUUGUGGGUGGCUGUCUAGGCAGCCGCACCCUUGCCCGUACUUUGGGGUCAACUUAUGUUCCCCUGUAAUGAAAUGAUGCCCUUUGGGCCGGGCAUUUUGAGUGUAAGGGAUGCGUAAUGCGGUAUUGCGUUAAAGCGGGAGAAGGCUUCACGUCCCAGUAGCGCUUGAUAGCGACUUACGAAUGGGGCGAUGUGGAAUGUUAGCUUUUCGCUUCAGAAGUUGUCGGGUGAUCUGAACGUGACUUCUAACGUAAGGGAACCCAUACUUGGGGUAUCCGGGCCUGGCGUUACUCCUUGAAAGGAAGUGUUGCCGAGGUGGAUUAUAACUGGGUUUACCCCGAGUUUGCGUACUGUGUCCUGAUAUAACAGGUUCAAGUCGCUGCCGCCGUCCAUAAGGGCGUUUGUAAAUUGGAGUCCGUUAAUAAUUGGAUUUACGACCAAGGCAGUCCAGCCUGCGUUCUGGUCUCCUCUGGAGUAAUCCUGACGAUCGAAGGUGAUUGGUUGUAACAACCAGUGGGGUUGCUCCUCCGGGGCUGGCUGUACGGCGCGUGUCUUCGUAGGUGCCGUUCUGCUCUUCCCUUUUGUCACAUGAAGUAGAUUUACUGUCUUGACUUCUUGUGGGAACUUCUUUUGUUCUCCGGUGUUCUACUUGUGGGGUGCAUCGUCAUCUUCGCUUGGUGUGUCGAGCCACUUGUGUUCGGCGUUGAGUUUGCCGGACUGCUUAAAGACCCAACAAUCUCUGUGGGUAUGGUUUGCAGGUCUCCCAGGAGUGCUGUGGAUUUGACAUAUUUUGUCCAAAAUUUUGUUGAGGUUGGAUAGCUCGUCCCUAUCGUCUUUGGGGGCGGCUUUUUCUGAUUUUGCCGAGAGCUUUUGAAUCCGGUGUUUACUGCCGUGCUCAUCAGGUUGUUGUCCUUUAUCCGGCGCGGUUCUUUGUUACGGCGCGACUUCCCGUUCCCAUCUCUGGGUUUGGACGUAUUCGGGUCGCUGGUGCUGCUUCUUGCCAACCAGCUAUCCUCUCCUGCACAAAAGCGGGUCAUGAGGCUUGUUAACGCGGCCAUUGUUAGCGGCUUUUCUUGGCCGAGGUGUCUGGCGAGCCAUUCGUCUCGGACGCUAUGUUUGAAAGCUGCUAGGGCCUUUGCGUCUGGACAGUCGACUAUCUGAUUCUUUUUUAUAAGGAAUCUGUUCCAGAGCUUCCGGGCUGACUCUCCGGGCUGCUGAGUUAUAUGACUCAGAUCAUCAGCAUCCGGGGGUCGGACAUAGGUCCCUUGAAAAUUUGCCCGGAAAGCAUCCUCAAGCACUUCCCAACUUCCCAUGGUGUUUUCGGGAAGGCUUUUAAGCCAAUGCCGGGUUGGCCCUUUGAGCUUAAGGGGUAAGUAUUUUAUGGCGUGGAGGUCAUCUCCUCUGGCCAUGUGUAUGUGGAGGAUAUAGUCCUCGAUCCAGACCCCAGGGUCUGUUGUUCCGUCGUAUGCUUCUCUGUUCACGGGCUUGAAUCCGGCUGAGAAUUCAUGGUCCAGCACCUCAUCGGUAAAACAUAGGGGGUGUGCGGCGCCCCUGUAUUUAGGCGUGUCGCGAUGUUCGGGUAUUUGUUGCAUUGCAUCACUCACUAGAGCUUGCUUUCUUGGCCUAUAGAUGGAUCUGGUUGGGCCAGUUUUCUGAUGCGAAUUCUUGGACGGAUCGCGCGCCAUAUUGAGUGCGGCGUCCUUUGAUGCGUGAGAUUGAUCGUAGGGUCGUCUAUCCGACCUUGUGGCUUCCUUAUUUUUUGACUGUGGGGGCUUUAUGGCCUCUUCAUCAAAUUCCGGUAGUAGUUUCCGCUUCGGAUAGCUCUUUGUGUGGCGACUGCUGCCGUACUUGUGUGCGGUAUUGAGUACUUUGCCCCAUCUGAUCCUGAGUGCAUCUUCCGCUGUCUUGAGCCUCCGCUUCUGCUUUCUCAGGCUACGUGCAGUGGCAACGAGCCUUUGGUGGAGGUUCUGAUGUUCCAGCAAUUUGUCUGCGGUGAGGUCAUCCGGGCUAUUAUCUUUCCCGGGGAUUGGUUGUUCGGAUUGUCUGCCCUGUUUGGACGGAUGCUCAACGGCAUGUUCGUCUUCCAUUGAUUCACCCUGCUCUAUGGCUGGGUCUUUGUCGAGGUGGGGCUUGGCCUUGCACUUACGCCGCUGCUUUGAUUGUUUUUCGGGGGAGCGAUCCCUGGCCGCAUCCUUUUGGUCCUCGUUGUCGUUUCUGUUGUGUGUGUCCACCAUGCAUACAUCGUAUGAUGAGGUGGCUUUCCGGCGCCCUAUAGGUGCUGGUUCCUGAUCGUCUCCUUUAUCGGCGUCCAUACCGUCGAUAUCUUCGGAGUCGAAAUCGAGCAUGUAGGUUAGAUCCUCGACAGUGGCUAUCAAGUGGGUGGUGGGUGGGGUUCGAACUUCGUUGUCCGCAUCCCAACCACCCCGACCGUAGUUCGGCCGGGGUUCUUUCGACAAAGAGAGAGACUUUAGUGAAUUUAGGAUAUCGCCAAAGGGCGAGUGCUGAAAGACGUCCGCAGCGGUGAACUCCAUGAUCGGAGCCCAAUCGGGUUUGAUCGGAAGGGGUGUGAAAUAUUCAGAGUCCGGAACAGAGUCCGGCACCUUGGAGUCACGGGCCUUGCAAAGGACUAGGCUGGUAUUCGGCUCUAUCGCCGCAGAGAUUGCGGCUCCUGGGGCGGCGUCCAACUGUCUGUCCCUGGCUAGCACAGUCGGCUCCGAGCUAAUGGUCGGAGUGGACACCUGAGCGGCACUCUGGGCGCUGUCCGGCGGCAGAGCUAGAUCAUGCCCAUCGAGACAGUGCGGCGCGCCCGGUCGUGGCUCGAAUCCGUCGAAGAUCAAGUCCCCGCGGAUGUCGGCCGUGUAGUUUAAGCUUCCAAACCUGUCCUGAUGGUUAGGGGCGUAGCUUUUGAUUUGCUCCAGAUGGCCAAACGAGUUGGCCCGCAGUGCGAAGCCGCCGAAUACGAAGAUCUGUCCAGGGAGAAAAGUCUCAUCCCGGACCGCAUCGCGAUUGACAGGCGAAGAAGCCAUCGGGCCAAAAGGCGACGACACAGAGGAACUCUCAAUGCAAGCACCAAUGUCGGUGUCAAAACCGGCGGAUCUCGGGUAGGGGGUCCCGAACUGUGCGUCUAGGCGGAUGGUAACAGGAGACAAGGGACACGAUGUUUUUACCCAGGUUCGGGCCCUCUCGAUGGAGGUAAAACCCUACUCCUGCUUGAUUAAUAUUGAUGAUAUGGGUAGUACAAGAGUAGAUCUACCAUGAGAUCGGAGUGGCUAAACCCUAGAAGCUAGCCUAUGGCAUGAUUGUUGUUCGUCCUAUGGACUAAAACUCUCCGGUUUAUAUAGACACCGGAGAGGGCUAGGGUUACAUAGAGUCGGUUACAAUGGGAGGAGAUCUUCAUAUCGUAUCGCCAAGCUUGCCUUCCACGCCAAGGAAAGUCCCAUCCGGACACGGGACGGAGUGUUCAAUCUUGUAUCUUCAUAGUCCGGGAGUCCGGCCAAAGGUCUUAGUCCGGCCAUCCGGACACCCCCUAAUCCAGGACUCCCUCAGUGGUCGACUAGAAAACUUGAUCGAUGGAAGACUCCAUGAUAUCUGCUCCAACUUCAUCAACAUAGUCAUCAUCGCUAUCAUCGGGGUCCGAGUCGGUGUCAUCGAUGAUGAUGUAGUUCUCCGGGAAAGUGGAAUCAUUGUCUUCUCCUCCUGGCGCGGGGUCUCCCAUGAAUACUCCUAACUUCUUUGUCAGAUCGUCAUUUUUAUCCACGAGUAUCGUCAUUUCCUCCUCAUAUCCAUGGUGUGUAGACUUGAGUUCUUCCUCCAGCUCCAUGAUCCUGGUCAUUUCCUUCUUCAGAUUUAUCAUGUCGGUGCACAUCUGGUUCUCCUGAUGACGAAUGUGCUGGUUUAACUCCUGGAUGAAAGGUGCAAUAGAUCUAUCCUUCCUGGUGCUGAUCAUCUCCCAUUGCUCAUCUCGGCGCCCACAAAUUUGGUAGAUAGUAUCCUUCAGAUCCUUGUGGUAAACUUCUCCAAUGCGUCCCAUAGUGAUGUGUGCUGCCAUGAUCUUUCCUAAACUCCAGGUUGGUGUGUCAAAGGAAAACUCUAUGGGCUCAAUGACUGGCAUGAACGUCCUUCCUGGAACUUGAACUCGAAUCAUCCAACGCUCCCCUUCUGGUAAAGUGGCGAUGUCGGUCCCGGUGAAGCUUGGUAUUCAGAUGUUCAGGUAUCUAGUGACUUCCUUCAAGUGUCGUCCAAAAGGUGUAUCUUCAUUCAAUUGUGUGAACUCGUUCAUUGCAUCCGCCAUCCUAAAGAGUAGAAAAGGGAGAGGAGUCAGAAAUGAGAAGAGAGUAGUGAUCUAGGGCUUUAGCUUAGUAGUCGUGUCCUACAUUCAGCGUGUGCUCUGAUACCAUCUUGUAGCGACCAGACCUCAAACAGUCUGAUCUUUGUGCAUCAGUGUCAUCCCUCGAUCGGUAAUGCUGACACGCACAGUACUUGAGGAUUUAUAAUAGAGUAGCAAUCACACACUUAUUACAUCGAAUGUCUCAAAAGAGAACUUAUUACAAAAAUAUGGCUUCAGGCCAUCUAAAAUCGAUAACAGCGGAAGGCUUGGAAGAUAAAGUGAGUCCAUCAACUCCAACAGCAUCACUAAGUGAAAGACAACGACUUAUGGCACCUUACUCGUCAUCUGAAAAAUCUAAAACAUGAACGUUGCAGCCCGAAACGGGUCAGCACAUGGAAUAUGCUGGCAAUGUAACACAAGAGAGUAAUGAACAGAAUAAAUGCUAUCACUACAUGCAUAUAUAGCUGGUGGAAAGCUCUAUGGUUACAGUUUUGCAUAAAGCCAAUUUUUUCCUACGACAAAGGAAUAAAUUUUAUUUAACUAUCAUGCUGGUUGUUAAACAUUGAGAAGGUUCCUCCAACUCAAUCCCAACUAAACCUCAUCAUUAAACCCAAUCAAAUUAAUUUAGAGUGAUGAGAUCAACAUGAUAAUCCAAGAACUAGAUUCUCAAAACGUCCAUAACCGGGGACACGGCUAACCAUGAUUAGUUUAUACACUCUGUAGAGGUUUGCGCAUUUUGCCCACAAGACUCGAAUACAUCCCUGGUCGAAGAAUCGAGACAUAGUCUUUCUGAAAAAAUAACUCUUUGCUCUGGGUGGACAGUUACACCUACUUUCCCCUACAUCUGCUAGCCCACCACUGAAAGAGGUCUUGCAACGUACUCAACUAUGCUAGAGCCCAUAAUAGCUUGUGGCUGCACACGGAAGUUUCUAGCAUGAAUAAUCUUAUGAUCCCUUUGAGCCUGGGUGGCAGACCGUAGGAUGAUCACACGGGUACUCCGGGAUAUCCUAGGACAACACUGGAUUCUCCAGGUGCCCUGACAACCACUGGGUACUCCAGGGUACCUUCAAGCAAUCCACCCAGAUGUGUAUUAAAGUAGCCACCUUAAGUUAACCAUUAAGUAACAACACUCGCAUCUGUCAUGAAAUCACUCGAUCCAAACCACGUCUACAAGCAUAGCAUAGCAAUAUAAGCAACAUAGAAGUAACUCCCAAUGGUUUGAUAAUAAACAGGGCAAUACGUACUACCUCAUCUACUUCCCAAAACCCACAUGUUAAACAGAUCCUAACCAUGUAUUUGUUUAAGGAUUGAACUAAUGCAAUAAAACUGGGUAGUAAAAAGGUAUUAUCAAAGUGUUACUUGCCUUGCUGAUGAUCCGUGAAACCUACAGACUCAUAGUAGCACGCUUCGCACUCCAGUUACUCUAUCGCAAACAAACAAGCAUACAAUAAGUACUCAACUGGAAGCACGAGUAAAACUCAAAUAAGAGAUCUAACCAGAAAGUUCAACUUAAGAACUCCGGUUUGCAAAAAGAAUCAAAUCAAACGAAGCAAUGAAACUCAAACUGCGAAAGAAACAAGCUCCAUUUACUAAUCUGGACUUAAGUCAAAUUUUACGGUAGCAAAAUCUUGUUGAAGUUGAUUAAAUAGAAAGAGGGCUUCAAGACGAAGAUCUAGACGUUUGUUUCAUCUGAUUUGGAUAAACAAGCGAAAAGAUAAACUAGUACAAAAAUUAGGGCAGAAAUCGCGAUCGAAAUUAAUCGUGGAAAAACCCUUGAAAAAGAAAAACUAACGAACAGACUAACGAACGAACGUUCGCUGUCUGCGGCUAACGGGUGAACUUCGUUCGCUAAAACGAACGUACGGACAAACGUCCGCUAAUUAGGUAAACCGAGAAAAACCGAACCGAUCUAAUCUAAAAAAAACCUAGGUUUCUAAAAAAACCAAGCGGUUUUCAAAAAAACCAAAUCGGCGGCGGCGGCGGUUGCUACCUCCGGCGAGGCUCCGACGAGGUGGGGGCGGCUCCUGCGGGGUCAGCGGCGGCGGCGGGGCUCCGGGGCCGCGGCGAGGUNNNNNNNNNNNNNNNNNNNNNNNNNNNNNNNNNNNNNNNNNNNNNNNNNNNNNNNNNNNNNNNNNNNNNNNNNNNNNNNNNNNNNNNNNNNNNNNNNNNNNNNNNNNNNNNNNNNNNNNNNNNNNNNNNNNNNNNNNNNNNNNNNNNNNNNNNNNNNNNNNNNNNNNNNNNNNNNNNNNNNNNNNNNNNNNNNNNNNNNNNNNNNNNNNNNNNNNNNNNNNNNNNNNNNNNNNNNNNNNNNNNNNNNNNNNNNNNNNNNNNNNNNNNNNNNNNNNNNNNNNNNNNNNNNNNNNNNNNNNNNNNNNNNNNNNNNNNNNNNNNNNNNNNNNNNNNNNNNNNNNNNNNNNNNNNNNNNNNNNNNNNNNNNNNNNNNNNNNNNNNNNNNNNNNNNNNNNNNNNNACAACGGCACGGUGCUGGUUACGGGCGGCGGCGCGCUUCCGGGGCGGCGGCGGUGGCGGCGGUGGCGGCGGUGGCGGGGAGGUGGUGAGAGGCGGCGGGUUGGGUAUUUAAGGAGAGGAGGGAGGUCCGACGGCUUGGGGGAGGAGUCGAGGAGGAGGAGUCCUCCUCGGACUCGGCGGCGGCGUGCUCGGUCAGAGUCGGCCGGGCGAGGCGGGGCGUUGGCGAGGCCGGCCCGGCUCGGCUGGGCCGCUGGCCCAGUCGGGCGCGCGAACAAUUUUUUUUAAAUAAGAUUCAACCAAAAACAAAUCCUAGAAAAAAAAAAUAAAAAAAAUCUAAAAAUGCCAAAAUAAAUUUUGGCCGUCUAGAUAAAAUAUUUAGAACAAGACGAACAUUUUCUUGGCCUAAAUAUGCAAUUUUGAAAACGUGCAAUUUUUCUAAUUCAAAUAAAAUAGCAACGAAACUCUGAAUAAAAUUCUUAUUUGAUUUUAAUAUUAAAUCUCCAAUAUUUCUUUAAUUUGGGGAAGUCAUUUUAUCCCCUCUCUUUUAUUUUCAUAAUGAAAAUAUUCGAAGAGAAAAUAAUUUAAAAUCAAAUGAUCCUCUUUUCAAAAUUUAAGAAAACUCAAAUAUGAAACUAACAAAAUCCCCAACUCUCUCCGUGGGUCCUUGAGUUGCGUAGAAUUUCUAGGAUCUACCAAAAAAUGCAAUAAAAUCUGAUAUGCAAUGAUGAUCUAAUGUAUAACAUUCCAAAUUGGAAAUUUUGGAUGUUACACUUUUUUAACCGGACAUCAUCAUACUUGAUUGUGCAUCAUGCCUUGUUUAUGUGAUGGUUGUUUACCAUGUUGUUUGCUUCUUUCCGGUUGCGCUUCUCCUUGAUAGUUCCGGUAACGUUGCGUUUGUGAGGAUUCGUUCGACUAUGUUGGUUUGUCUACUUCUUGGAUUCAUUCUUCUUCCUUGCGGGAUCUCAGGCAAGAUGACCAUUACCCUUGAUAUCACUUCUAUCUUUGCUUGCUAGUUGUUUCGUUCUAUCACUAUGUUGCGCUACCUAUCACUUGUUUACCAUGCCUCCCAUGUUGCCAUGUUCAGCCUCUAACAGACCUUCCUAGCAAACCGUUGUUUGGCUAUGUUACUGCUCUGCUCAGCCCCUCUUAUAGCGUUGUUAGUUGCAGGUGAAGUUGAAGAUUGCUCCAUGUUGGAACAUGUUUAUGUUGGGAUAUCACACUAUCUCUUAUUUACUUAAUGCAUCUAUAUAUUUGGUAAAGGGUGGAAGGCUCGGCCUUAUGCCUGGUGUUUUGUUCCACUCUUGCCGCCUUAGUUUCCGUCAUACCGGUGUUAUAUUCCUUGAUUUUGUGUUCCUUACGUGGUCAGGUUUAUGGGAACCCCUUGACAGUUCGCUUUGAAUAAAACUCAUCCAGCAAGGUGAUACGUCUCCAAUGUAUCUAUAAUUUUUUAUUGUUCCAUGCUAUUAUAUUACCCGUUUUGGAUGUUUAUGGGCUUUACUUUACACAAUUAUAUCAUUUUUGGUACUAACCUACUAACCGGAGGCCCAGCUCAUAUUGCUGUUUUUUUGCCUAUUUCAGUGUUUCGAAGAAAAGGAAUAUCAAACGGAGUCCAAACAGAAUGAAACCUUCGGGAACGUGAUUUUUGGAACGAACGUGAUCCAGAGGACUUGGAGUGGAAGUCAAGAAACAAGGGAGGUGGCCACAAGGGUGGAGGGCGCCCCCCUACUACUGGGCGCGCCCCCCUAUCUCGUGGGCCCCUCGGGAGUCCACCGACCUACUUCUUCCUCCUAUAUAUACCCAUGUACCCCGAAAACAUCAGAGGUGACCAUGAAAACCUAAUUCCACCGCUGUAACCUUCUGUAUCCGCGAGAUCCCAUCUUGGAGCCUUCGUCGGUGUUCCGCCGGAGGGGGAAUCGAUCACGGAGGGCCUCUACAUCAUCUCCAAGGCCUCUCCAAUGAGUUGUGAGUAGUUUACCACAGACCUUCGGGUCCAUAGUUAUUAGCUAGAUGGCUUCUUCUCUCUCCUUGAAUCUCAAUACCAUGUUCUCCUUGAUCUUCUUGGAGAUGUAUUUGAUGUAACUCUUUUUGCGGUGUGUUUGUCGAGAUCCGAUGAAUUGUGGGUUUAUGAUCAAGUUUAUCUAUGAGAAAUAUUUGAAUCUCCUCUAAAUUCUUUCAUGUGUGAUUAAGUUAUCUUUGCAAGUCUCUUCGAAUUAUCAGUUUGGUUUGGCCUACUAGAUUGAUAUUUCUUGCAAUGGGAGAAGUGCUUAGCUUUGGGUUCAAUCUUGCGGUGUCCUUUCCUAGUGACAGCAGGGGCAGCAAGGCACGUAUUGUAUUGUUGCCAUCGAGGAUAAAAAGAUGGGGUUUAUAUCAUAUUGCAUGAGUUUAUCCCUCUACAUCAUGUCAUCUUUCUUAAUGCGUUACUCUGUUCUUUAUGAACUUAAUACUCUAGAUGCAUGCUAGAUAGCGGUCGAUGUGUGGAGUAAUAGUAGUAGAUGUAGGCAGGAGUCAGUCUACUUGUCACGGACGUGAUGCCUAUAUACGUGAUCAUGCCUAGAUAAUCUCGUAAUUAUUCGCUUUUCUAUCAAUUGCUCGACAGUAAUUUGUUCACCCACCGUAAUACUUAUGCUAUCUUGAGAGAAUCCACUAGUGAAACCUAUGACCCGGGUCUAUCUCUUAUCAUAUAAGCUUUCAAUCUACUUUUAUUUUGCAUCUUUACUUUUCCUAUCUAUAUUAAAUACCAAAAAUACACUUAUCUUAUCAUAUUAUCUCUAUCAGAUCUCACUUUCGCAAGUGGUUGUGAAGGGAUUGACAACCCCUUUAUUGCGUUGGUUAUGAGUUCUUGUUUGUUUGUGUAGGUGCGUGGGACUUUUGAGGAGGCUCCUACUGGAUUGAUACCUUGGUUCUCAAAAACUGAGGGAAAUACUUAUGCUACUAUUGCUGCAUCACCCUUUCCUCUUCAAGGAAAACCAGUGCAAGCUCAAGACGUAGCACAAGGCCCAACAUUGGUUUUCUAUUUGCCUAACAACCUAUAACCCUCCCUUGGGGUCUGCAGCCCCGAGGGUCAUCUUUAUUUUAACCCCCCCGGGCCAGUGCUCCUCUGAGUGUUGGUCCAAACUCGAGCCACUUGCAGCGCCACCUCGGGGAAACAUGAGGGCUGGUUUUAGCUGUACGUAGUGUUCAUCCAGUGUGCCCUGAGAACAAGAUAUGUGCAGCUCCUAUUGGGAUUUGUCGGCACAUCCGGGCAGUCUUGCUGGUCUUGUUUUACCAUUGUCGAAAUGUCUUGUAACCGGGAUUCCGAGUCUGAUCGGGUCUUUCCGGGAGAAGGAAUAUCCUUUGUUGAUCGUGAGAGCUUGUGAUGGGCUAAGUUGGGACACCCCUGCAGGGUAUAAACUUUCGAAAGUCGUGCCCACGGUUAUGUGGCAGAUGGGAAUUUGUUAAUGUCCGGUUGUAGAGAACUUGACACUUGACUUAAUUAAAAUGCAUCAACCGCAUGUGUAGCCAUGAUGGUCUCUUCUUGGCGGAGUCCAGGAAGUGAACACGGUUUGGGUUAUGUUUGAACGUAAGUAGUCUUCAGGAUCACUUCUUGAUCACUUCUAGCUUCACGACCGUUGCGUGGCUUCUCAUCUUACUCUUAUUUGCGUAACUUAGCCACCAUAUUUGCUUAGCGCUUGCUGCAACUCCACCUCAUCACCACAUCCUACCCAUAAGCUUAAAUAGUCUUGAUCUCGCGGGUUUUGAGAUUGCUGAGUCCUCGUGACUCACAAGAUACUACCAAACAGUUACAGGUCCCAAUGAUACCAGUGCAGGUGAUGCAACCGAGCUCAGAUGGGAGUUCGAUGAGGUCCUUGGCAGUUACUACGUGUCUUUUCCUAAUGAUCAAUGGUGGAGCCCAGUUGGGACGAUCAGUGAUCUAGCAUUUGGGGUUAUCAUCUUUUCAUUUGGAUUUGUCCGUAGUCGGACUAUGAGUGUACUCUCAUGAUGUAUGAAUUAUAUGAUCUUUGUGUGAAGUGGCGAUUGUAAGCCAACUCUCUUUAUCCCUUUCUUGUUCAUUACAUGGGAUUGUGUGAAGAUGACCCUUCUUGCGACAAAAACCACAAUGCUGUUAUGCCUCUAAGUCGUGCCUUGACACGUGGGAGAUAUAGCCGCAUCGUGGGUGUUACAAGUUGGUAAUCAGAGCCAUCCCCGACUUAGGAGCCCCCUGCUUGAUCGAAUCGCUUAUGUUGUUGAGUCUAGAACAACAUGUUUUGAGUCUUAGGAUUAUAUAUAUCGUAGAGUAGGAUUCUUUUUACUCCUCAGUCCCUUCGUCACUCUGGUGAGGUCUCCUCACGUAGAUGUUUUGUCUUUCCUCUCCUCAAUUUUCACUAAAAAAAAUUAGGAUCACGCGGGUAUCUUGGGAUCGCCCUGAUAUUCUUGUGACGAGAACAUUGUUCUUGGUGCCUCCUAACAUUUAGGGGUUGUGGCAGUGUCCCGGGGAGUUGAGCUCCGAGGUGUUGUCGUCACAAUUUUAUUGUUGCAGUUCUGGAAUACCUGAAUUUUCGUCGACAUCGAAAAUCUCUUUUAUGCAGUUGUUGGUGAGAUAGCCUCGAUGCUAUCCAGUACUGGGGCGGGAGUUCGGGACUAUUGCCAUGGCUCGUAUAACGGAUGCUUUUCCAAGGUUGAGGUACACGAUUUCCAGAGUUUACUUGGUUAUGUGUUAACGGAUGGAUACAGCUGGAUGUAGGGAUUGUUAGUUUUGGGUGAGAUAUAUAUUGCUUCCCCUGUAUCCCCAACACCAGAUUGCAUAACUAGAAAGUUUCGGGAGUUUAUAGGUGGGAAUUCAAAUAGCUCUAGUUUUUUUCCCGACAAAUGCAAUAUGAGAUUGGGGUUCGACGUCUAGUGGUCCGCCUAUCCACGGUCAUUUUUACAAUGGUCUCAUUGUGUCUUAAUGAGUCCUUGGCUAUGCUGACUCAUGGACGCUUCGUAUGUCAUGUGCACUGCCUUGUACAUGAUGGUGUUGUACGACCGAGCCUGUGUGGGCCCCACCAUGAAAAAUUCGGACGAAUCUCUAUCAUAUGUUUGUUUUCGGCUUAUCCUGCAAGCCAAAUCCUUUGUUUUGUUUUGAGUUGUGGUAUUCGAGUUGCUUCGAUGUCAAGUGUUGAUCCAUACCUUCCCUAAAUGGUGUUCUCAAAUUUCUAUGGGAGUACUAAUCCUUUUAUUCAUGUUGAAUGGUCAUGCCAAUUCUUUUCCAACCGGGGUGCUUCCCUCAAGUGGAUCCGGUCAUUUCAACAUCCGCAAGAUCAAUUCUAAGUUUUUCUCAAUGGUAUCCAUUCCAUCUACCCAAGUUGCCUUUGUUUUCCCGCCCUCCCACCCUUUUUCUUCAAGGACUCAGAUUUAUUAAUCAAGUAUCCUUUUAUGGAUGUGAAGUCCCUUCAUUUUUUAUCAAUAUUCUUAUCCGGUGAUUCUCAAGAAGUUGCUCAACAGUUUCAAGUUUAUUAUUGUUCGUUCUCUUUUCUUCUCCGGUGGAUUCAAUUCAAGCUUUGUCGAUCAUAUUCUUUCCUUGUUUCAAAUGUUUUCCCAUGCCGGUGCACCUCUUAAUUGCUCACCUCUCCUAGUUCAUAUCCGGAGUGUUGAAGAUAUCUCAGAAGGUUCAUGUUUCCAUUCUCAAUCCUUCAAGCUAUUUGGAGAUUAUUAUCUCAUUCAAGUCAUUCAAUUCAACCGGUGCAAUCUCUCUUCAAAAUCGUUCAACGGUGUUUUUCUUGAGUGGGCCCUAACUCACAGGUCUUUUUCCAGGAUCUUACCUGACUCUUCUAAUUUUCCCAGAGCUAUUCAAAAAUUCUUUUCGAAGUUUGACGUAAGAAUGAAUUUUCAUUAGUCAGAUGUGUUCUUCAAGAUCGCUUUCAAAUACUUUUGAUUGUUGGUUCAAAUUUUCUAUUCAUCAUUCCGGAGUGCCUCAACAAUUCAUGGUGGUUCUCAUCAUCAUUCUCAACAUUUGAAGACCGAAGAAGGAUUUCUCUUAAAUCUUGCUCCAUUCUCUUCAAGAUUCAUGGUUCUAGCUUGAGUCCAUCCUCUCAUAAUUGUUUUCGAUUGUGAGAAUUCUUUUCACCCAUCCGAAGCAUUUCAGGAGUUACCUUCCUUUCUCGAUCACCUGAAGGCCAUCAUUUGUGAAUAUUAUUCAUUCUCAGUUUUCAGCUCUCGUUCUCGAAUUCUUCUGGUGCAUCGUUCAAAUAUCCUCUAAUCAGUUCAUGAUCUCUUCGUUCUCAUGUAUCUAAAUCCCCUCAAGUAUCUUCAUUCGUUUUCCAAUUCUUCCCGGUGAAUUGUGCCUUUUCUACCCUCAUUUCAAAUUCUUACGGCGGUUUGUUCAAGAUUCCUCUUCCUUUAUUACCGUAUCAUUUCAUUCGUUCUUUCCAAUCAUCCCGGUGAUUUGUCGAACACUUCUUCAAGUUGGCGCUAUAUCUCUCUUCAAUCCUUGCAAAAGAAUAAAUAGUGUGCCAAAUCCCUUGCUUCUCAUCAAUUUAAAUUGGUGAAGGAUACGCAUAACAUAAUUCUUAUUCUUGUUUCAUCCAAGUGAUUAAUUUUUUCUUUCCGGAGUUGUUCAUCAUAUCACAUUCUCGAUUCAAGUUGCUCACCUUUCUUUCCCGGAGUUCCAAGUUUUUUUUGGUUAUCUAGUCACAAAGCUCCAUCUAAAUCAUUGCAAGGCUUCAAUUCUGGUUCUCUUGAACCUCCAAUUCUUCGUCAUAAUCAUUUUGUUUUCCGGAGAUCUUCCAAGAGGUUCUUCAUGGUGGUUGAUCAAGGAUUUAAUUCAUUCUUGAAGUGUUCUUCAAGAUUCUUGUUGGAGGAUUCAAGUAUUCUUCUUGCAUUCCGGAAUGCAACUUUUGUUCCCUUAUCUUUUGAGGUGGUGUUAUGUCAUUUUGACAAUUUCCUUUAUGUUUCGUGAUUCACAUGUUGUCAAGAAUGAGGUAUUUUAAAUCCAUCAAUCUCUUCAUUGGAGUUACCUUGGUAUUGAUUUCACUUAAAGCCUUCCCUAAGGAAUGUUGCUAAUUGUGGUGUCUAUCGAUAAUCCAAGUUUCCACCUAUUCUCGCGGUGAAAGAAGUUUUUCAUCUCUUUGGUGCUCUCAAUCAAAUCAAUGGUUUCCAUUAGUGGCCGGUUGCCACCUCAUAGUUUUGAGAUGUUUUCCAUAAGCCCACAACAAGCUUGUGCUUUCGUUGUUGAUUUUCCAAUAACUCCGUUCAACCCUUCUCCGUAAGGAUGCUUUUCAAAUUCAAUUGUGGUAGAAAAUAUCAUUUUCUUCUUAAUUCUUUUCUUUCCAAUGGUCCAACUUCUAUUCCUUCGUUCCGAAGGCUUUGUGAUGUUACUCUCUUCGACCCAUCAUCUCAUUUUGUAAAUAUCAUGUUCUUUUCCUUGCUUAUCCGUUUACUAGGAGUGUCAUGUCCUAUGCUCAAGUUAUUUUCAUCUUAUCAAGUCUUGCAUUUCUUUUCAACUGGGGUGCUGUCCGAAUUUGUUCUUCCUUGUUCCUUGUUUAUCUCGUUUCAACCAGAGUGGUUUCAAUUCCUUCUUAUUCUUUGUGCUUGUCAUUCUUAGCUUUGCAACCUCCAAGGUUCUCAUAAUGUUCCUUGUUCCUCUUUUCUAACGGAGCUUUUCAAUCUCGUUCAUCUCUGUUGUAUUCUUUCUUUCUAGUUGUCCAACCUCUUAAGGUUCAUGGUUUCACUCAUUUGUCGAAGAACCAACUUUGUUUUACCUCUUCCAUUUUCGUUUAUCUCUGGUUCCAUCCCUAGGAUCUCAGGUCGAGAUCCUCUGUUAGUGGAGGAGAGUUGUAACGCCCCAAGACCGACGCUCCAGACGCCUUCCAUGUUUUCCGAGUUUCAUCGUGUGAUUUUGUUUUGUUCGUGCAUUCAUCUCUGCAUCAUGUGCAUUGCAUCAUGUCAUCUUGCACCCCAUUUUUAAAACUCAGCUAAAUAAAUUGCAUGGAUGUUUGGUCCAUUUAAAACGAGGGAAUUCACAUGGUGAUUUCGCUUUAUAACAUAUCAUCCCAAUAUUAUAGGGGGCUAUAAUAAAUAUUCCAUUAAUUUGGAAUUGAUCGUAACACACUUGCAAAAUUAUUCCCAUGCCUUUGUUAUCUUACUUCUUGACCUCAAACUUUGUCCAUUAAAUUCUUUCGUCAUUUUCCCGAGCUCCACCGAAAUUCUCAACAUUCCUGGACCUACCAAAAACCCACUUCUUUCACCACUCAUUUGAAUUAAAUUCAAAUGAGUUUGGAUCUUGGUUGCCCAGCACCCUUCCGACCAUUUCCGUUAAAUCACUCACAUUUUCCCGAUCUCAGGAAAAUAUCACACUAGUCCAUACUCCUUCUCUAACCUCUUCUUUUCUCUCUUUUCUUUCUUUCUUUUUCUGUAAAUAGAAAAGAGAGAAGCCUAUUUUGGCCUAAUGACCAGGCCAGCCCAUCUAACCUCCUAAAGCCCAGCCUCCUCACGAACCCUAGCACCCCUGGUUCAAUCCCCUUCAUCUCUCCUUCUCCCGAUCCCUGCUGCCUUCCCUCCUCGAUCCCCUCCAUCCUCCUUACGCUGCCAAGCACACACACAGAGAGGAGCGAGAGCCCUGCUCUCGCAAUCCCUAUCUCUCUUCCUCCCCAGGAGCUCGCGUUCCCCUGAUCUCCUGCAACGCCGGAGACCUCUCCUGCUUUGCCUCGCCUGCCCCUUCGUCGUUUGCCGCCAGUCAUCGCAGAACCAGGCCGCCGCCCCGCACCAUCUCAUGGACCCGCGUCUCCCCGUUACCCCUGCUCGAGCUUCGCAGCCAUGGCGCCGCCACCACCAUCUCCAGCCGCUCCCCUGCAGCUCCUCCUCCACCUCGUCCUCACGUCUGGCCUCGUCCCGGCCCGCCUUCUGCCUCCUCCAUUGAUUGUCCCGGCCACCAAAGCUGUUGACGGCCGAAGCCCGGCCGUGUUGUAGCCUCUGUUGCUGGCGACCUUGACCUCCCUUGCACCAAGCCCCGCCGUCGGUCUUCAACCCUGACGCCCGACCCGGCCAUCUUCGGUUGCUGCCCCUUCACGGCCAGCACACACAAGAGCUCCACCCACCUUGCUGCCAUGCUGGCCUCAUCGCCCCUCUUGUCGCUGCCACGGCUCGGCAACUAGGGAUGCCCAAGGAUGCCUUCAUGGAUUUCGCCAAGACCCCACACCGGCAAGACUACAACACUGAAACGGCAAGGUCGACUAUGUUUUACUGCCUCUCUGGAGCGCCAAGUUCCAUAAGACACCAAGUACCACAACGGCCGUUGUUCGCAAGUACCCUCUCCGGAUCGCCAAGUUCGACUACCGGUGACAUAUACCACAACCGUCGCCUUGGGUUUCGUCAAGUUCCUAUACGACCCGUGUAAAACUACCGUCGCCCCGAAGACUUGGAUUCGUCAAGUAGCUCUCCGAAAUGAACGUGUACCACUACUUCCACUACCUUCGCCGUGUACCACUACUUCCACUAUAACCGUCCCGAGAACGUCUACUUCCUUCGACGAACUCGUUCCGCCCCGAAAAUGCAUGCUUCAAAGGUAUAACACCGAGACAACGCCCGUCAAUGAUGCUUUGUCAUAUGAGUUGCUUGCGUUUGCACCGUGCCCGAAUUGAUCCUUGCAAGUUCCUCCUCGUUUGCCAUGCCGUCGACCAGUGGGAACCCGGUAACCAGGAUCACCCCACCAUCGUUUGCAUGUUCCGCACAUCCGCACACUUGCUCUUUUGCACCGGUAUCUCAAUGAGUUAUCGGAUCAUCGGAAUGUUGCCAUGGCACCAUUUUCGUUGUCGUUGCCGUGGCACCCCUUUCGUUCCGCCAUGGUGACAAAUGCUUCAUAGCAUGUUCAUGUCAACAUUUUCAUAAAAAAAAUGCAUAAACCUUGAUUAUAUCAUCCGCAUCAUGAUAAAAACGUUUAAAAUGUUCAAAAUUGUUGUUUGCAUUAAAUUGCUAAAUGUCAUGUGGGGAUUCAUCAGAAUUGUUGUUUGUUGUUUCUGACCUCAUUUAACUUUCCUAAAUAGGUGGUUUGCUCAUGUUUCACCUCUUGCCAUGUUUAACAACAUUUAAUAUUGUUGUGUACCUAAACGAGAAUGAACUAAAUAAUUGACUGUGGUGUCUCGUCAAUAUGUAACUCGCUGCAUAUUGAGCUCUACUUAAAGUGUAGUAUUAUUUGUUGCAUUUUGCCAUGCCUUUUUAAACCGGACAUGCAUCAUACUUGAUUGUGCAUCGUGCCUUGUUUAUGUGAUGGUUGUUUACCAUGUUGUUUGCUUCUUUUCGGUUGCGCUUCUCCUUGAUAGUUCCAGUAACGUUGCGUUUGUGAGGAUUCGUUCGACUAUGUUGGUUUCUCUACUUCUUGGACUCGUUCUUCUUCCUUGUGGGAUCUCAGGCAAGAUGACCAUUACCCUCGAUAUCACUUCUAUCUUUGCUUGCUAGUUGCUUCGUUCUAUCGCUAUGAUGCACUACCUAUCACUUGUUUACCAUGCCUCCCAUAUUGCCAUGUUCAGCCUCUAACCCACCUUCCUAGCAAACCGUUGUUUGGCUAUGUUACCGCUCUGCUCAGCCCCUCUUAUAGCAUUGUUAGUUGCAGGUGAAGUUGAAGAUUGCUCCAUGUUGGAACAUGUUUAUGUUGGGAUAUCACAAUAUCUCUUAUUUACUUAAUGCAUCUAUAUAUUUGGUAAAGGGUGGAAGGCUCGGCCUUAUGCCUGGUGUUUUGUUCCACUCUUGCCGCCUUAGUUUCCGUCAUACCGGUGUUAUGUUCCUUGAUUUUGUGUUCCUUGCGCGGUCGGGUUUAUGGGAAACCCUUGAAAGUUAGCUUUGAAUAAAACUCAUCCAGCAAGGCCCAACAUUGGUUUUCCAUUUGCCUAACAACCUAUAACCCUCCCUUGGGGUCNNNNNNNNNNNNNNNNNNNNNNNNNNNNNNNNNNNNNNNNNNNNNNNNNNNNNNNNNNNNNNNNNNNNNNNNNNNNNNNNNNNNNNNNNNNNNNNNNNNNNNNNNNNNNNNNNNNNNNNNNNNNNNNNNNNNNNNNNNNNNNNNNNNNNNNNNNNNNNNNNNNNNNNNNNNNNNNNNNNNNNNNNNNNNNNNNNNNNNNNNNNNNNNNNNNNNNNNNNNNNNNNNNNNNNNNNNNNNNNNNNNNNNNNNNNNNNNNNNNNNNNNNNNNNNNNNNNNNNNNNNNNNNNNNACUUGAGGGCUGGUUUUAGCUGUACGUAGUGUUCAUCCGGUGUGCCCUGAGAACGAGAUAUGUGCAGCUCCUAUCGGGAUUUGUCGGCACGUCCGGGCGGUCUUGCUAGUCUUGUUUUACCAUUGUCGAAAUGUCUUGUAACCGGAUCCGAGUCUGAUCGGGUCUUUCCGGGAGAAGGAAUAUCCUUCAUUGAUCGUGAGAGCUUGUGAUGGGCUAAGUUGGGACACCCCCGCAGGGUAUAAACUUUCGAAAGUCGUGCCCGCGGUUAUGUGGCAGAUGGGAAUUUGUUAAUGUCCGGUUGUAGAGAACUUGACACUUGACUUAAUUAAAAUGCAUCAACCGCGUGUGUAGCCAUGAUGGUCUCUUCUUGGCGGAGUCCAGGAAGUGAACAUGGUUUGGGUUAUGUUUGAACGUAAGUAGUCUUCAGGAUCACUUCUUGAUCACUUCUAGCUUCACGACCAUUGCGUAGCUUCUCAUCUUACUCUUAUUUGCGUAUGUUAGCCACCAUAUUUGCUUAGUGCUUGCUACAACUCCACCUCAUCACCACAUCCUACCCAUAAGCUUAAAUAGUCUUGAUCUCGCGGGUUUUGAGAUUGCUGAGUCCUCGUGACUCACAAGAUACUACCAAACAGUUGCAGGUCCCGAUGAUACCAGUGCAGGUGAUGCAACCGAGCUCAGAUGGGAGUUCGACGAGGUCCUUGGCCGUUACUACGUGUCUUUUCCUGAUGAUCAGUAGUGGAGCCCAGUUGGGACGAUCGGGGAUCUACCAUUUGGGGUUAUCUUCUUUUCAUUUGGAUUUUUCAGUAGUCGGACUAUGAGUGUACUCUGAUGAUGUAUGAAUUGUAUGAUCUUUGUGUGAAGUGGCGAUUGUAAGCCAACUCUCUUUAUCCCUUUCUUGUUCAUUACAUGGGAUUGUGUGAAGAUGACCCUUCUUGCGACAAAAACCACAAUGUGGUUAUGCCUCUAAGUCGUGCCUCGACACGUGGGAGAUAUAGCCGCAUCGUGGGCAUUACACUACCCCCUGGGCGCGCCCCCUACCUCGUGGGCCACCUGGAAGCCCGCCGAUGCCCAUCUUCUGGUAUAAGGUGUCUUUUGCACUUGAAAAAAUCAUUAGGAAGCUUUCGGGACGAAGCGCCGCCUUCUUGAGGCGGAACCAAUCUAGGGCUCUAGCGGAGCUGUUCUGCCGAGGAAACAACCCUCCGGGAGGGGGGAAUCAUCACCAUCGUCAUCACCAUUGAUCCUAUCAUCGGGAGGGAGUCAAUCUCCAUCAACAUCUUCACCAGCACCAUCUCCUCUCAAACCCUAGUUCAUCUCUUGUAUCCGAUCUUUGUCUCAAAACCCCGGAUUGGUACCUAUGGAUUGCUAGUAGUGUUGAUUACUCCUUGUAGUUGAUGCUAGUUGGUUUAUUCGGUGGAAGAUCAUAUGUUCAGAUCCUUUAUGCAUAUUAAUACCCCCUCUGAUUAUGAACAUGAAUAUGAUUUGUGAGUAGUUACAUUUCUUCCUGAGGACAUGGGAGAAGUCUUGUUAUAAGUAGUUAUGUGAAUUUGGUAUUCGUUCGAUAUUUUGAUGAGAUGUAUGUUGUCUCUCCUCUAGUGGUGUUAUGUGAACGUCGACUACAUGACACUUCACCAUUAUUUGGGCCUAGGGGAAGGCAUUGGGAAGUAAUAAGUAUAUGAUGGGUUGCUAGAGUGACAGAAGCUUAAACCCUAGUUUAUGCGUUGCUUCGUAAGGGGCUGAUUUGGAUCCAUAUGUUUCAUGCUAUGGUUAGGUUUACCUUAAUUCGUAUUUCGUAGUUGCGGAUGCUUGCAGGAGGGGUUAAUCAUAAGUGGGAUGCUUGUCCAAGGAAGGGAAGUACCCAAGCACCGGUCCACCCACAUAUCAAAUUAUCAAAGUACCGAAUGCAAAUCAUAUGAGCAUGAUGAAAACUAGCUUGACGAUAAUUCUCAUGUGUCCUCGGGAGCGCUUUCCUUUAUAGAAGAGUUUGUCCAGGCUUGUCCUUUACUAUAAAAAGGAUUGGGCCACCUUGCUGCACCUUUCUUACUUUUGUUACUUGUUACCCGUUACGAAUUACCUUAUCAUAAAACUAUCUGUUACUGAUAAUUUAAGUGCUUGUAGAGAAUCCCUUCCUGAAAGUCGCUUGUCAUUUCCUUCUACUCCUUGUUGGGUUUGACACUCUUACUUAUCAAAAGGACUACGAUAGAUCCCCUAUACUUGAGGGUCAUCAAGACUCUUUUCUAGCGCCGUUGUCGGGGAGUGAAGCGACUUUGGUAGGUGGAAUUUGGUAAGGAAACAUUUAUAUAGUGUGCUGAAAUUUAUUGUCACUUGUUACUAUGGAAAAUAAUCCUUUGAGGGGCUUGUUCGGGGUAUCUUCACCCCGAACAGUAGAGCAAAGAGUUGCUCCUCAAUCUUCUGAACCUACUGAAAAUGUUUAUUUUGAAAUUCCUUCGGUUUUGAUAGAGAAACUACUAGCUAAUCCUUUUACAGGAGAUGGAACAUUACAUCCUGAUAUGCACCUAACCUAUGUGGAUGAAGUUUGUGGAUUAUUUAAGCUUGCAGGUAUGCCCGAGGAUGUUAUCAAGAAUAAGGUAUUCCCUUUAUAUUUUAAGGGAAAGGCAUUGACAUGGUUUAGGCUAUGUGAUGAUAUUGGAUCAUGGAACUACAACCGAUUGAAAUUGGAAUUUCAUUAGAAGUUUUAUCCUAUGCAUCUGGUUCAUCGUGAUUGCAAUUAUAUAUAUAUAUAUAUAUAUAUAUAUAUAUAAUAUUUGGCCUCGCGAAGGAGAAAGUAUCUCUCAAGCUUGGGGGAGGCUUAAGUCAAUCUUAUAUUCAUGCCCCAAUCAUGAGCUCUCAAGAGAAAUUAUUAUUAAAAAAAAUUAUGCUCGGCUUUCUCUCAAUAAUCGUUCCAUGCUCGAUACUUCUUGUACUGGUUCUUUUAUGAUGAAGAAUGUUGUAUUCAGAUGGGAUUUAUUGGAAAGAAUUAAACGCAACUUUGAAGAUUGGGAUCUCGACGAAGGUAAGGAGUCAGGUAUAACACCUAAGUUUGAUUAUGUUAAAUCUUUUAUGGAUACCGAUGUUUUUCGUGAAUUUAGCACCAAAUAUGGACUUGACUCUGAGAUAGUAGCUUCUUUCUGUGAAUCAUUUGCUACUCAUGUUGAUCUCCCUAAAGAGAAGUGGUUUAAAUAUCAUCCACGCAUUGAAGUAAAAGUAGUUGAACCUAUUAAAGUUGAGGAAAAGACUAUCACUUAUAAUGUUGAUCCUAUUGUUCCUACUGCUUAUAUUGAGAAACCACCUUUCCCUGUUAGAAUAAAGAAUCAUGCUAAAGCUUCAACUGUGGUUCGUAAGAGUAAUGCUAGAAUACCUACACCCCCUGAGCAAAUUAAAGUUGAACCUAGUAUUUCUAUGGUUAAAUAUCUCUUGGUCGAUAAUAUUGAUGGGCAUGUUAUUUACUUCUAUGAUGAAGCUGCUAGAAUUGCUAGACCCGAUACUAAACAUAAACAUAGACCUGUUGUUGGCAUGCCUGUUGUUUCUGUUAAAAUAGGAGAUCACUGUUCAUGGCUUAUGUGAUAUGGGUGCUAGUGCCAGUGCAAUACCUCAUUCCUUAUACGAAGAAAUUAUGCAUGAUAUUGCAUGUGCUGAGAUAGAAGAUAUAGAUGUUACAAUUAAGCUUGCAAUAGAGAUACUAUUUCACCAAUUGGGAUUGUCAGAGAUGUUGAAGUCUUGUGUGGGAAUGUUAAAUAUCCUACUGAUUUUCUUGUUCUUGGUUUCCCACAAGAUAAUUUUUGUCCCAUUAUAUUUGGUAGACCCUUCUUGAAUACUGUUAAUGCUAAGAUAGAAUGCGAAAAGGAUAUUGUUACUGUUGGUUUACGACAUAUGUCUCAUGAUUUUAAUUUUGCUAAAUUCCGUAGACAACCCCAUGAUAAAGAAUUGCCUAGUAAAGAUGAAAUUAUUGGUCUGGCCUCUAUUGUUGUGCCUCCUAAUGAUCCUUUAGAACAAUAUUUGCUAGACCAUGAAAACGGUGUGUUUAUGAGUGAAAGAAGGGAAAUAGAUGAAGUAUUCUUUAAACAGGGACCCAUUUUGAAACACAACUUUCCUGUUGUAAUCCUAGGGGAUCCUCCUCCACCCAAGGGUGAUCCCAUGUUUGAGCUUAAACCAUUACCUGAUACUCUUAAAUAUGCUUAUCUUGAUGAAAAGAAGAUAUAUCCUGUUAUUAUUAGUGCUAACCUUUCAGAGCAGGAAGAAGAGAAAUUAUUGAAAACUCUAAAGAAGCACUGUGCUGCUAUUGGAUAUACUCUUGAUGAUCUUAAGGGCGUUAGCCCCACUCUAUGCUAGCACAAAAUAAAAUUGGAGAAAGAUGCUAAACCAGUUGCUGAUCACCAAUGACGGUUAAACCCUAAGAUGAAAGAAGUGGUAAGAAAUGAAAUACUAUAGCUUCUGGAGGCAGGUAUGAUUUAUCCUGUUGCCGAUAGUCAAUGGGUAACUCCCGUCCAUUGUGUCCCUAAGAAGGGAGGUAUUAUUGUUGUUCGUAAUGAUAAAGAUGAAUUGAUCCCAUAAAGAAUUAUUACAGGUUAUAGAAUGGUAAUUAAUUUCCGCAAAUUGAAUAAAGCUACUAGAAAAGAUCAUUACCCUUUACCUUUUAUUGAUCAAAUGCUAGAAAGAUUAUCCAAACAUACACAUUUUUUCUUUCUAGAUGGUUAUUCUGGUUUCUAUCAAAUACCUGUGUCAAAAGAGGAUCAGGAUAAGACCACUUUUACUUGCCCUUUCGGUACCUUUGCUUAUAGACUAUGCCUUUUGGUUUAUGCAAUGCACCUGCUACCUUUCAAAGAUGUAUGACUGCUAUAUUCUCUGACUUUUGUGCAAAGAUUGUUGAGGUUUUCAUGGAUGAUUUCUCCGUGUAUGGAACUUCUUUUGAUGAUUGCUUAAGAAACCUUGAUCGAGUUUUGCAAAGAUGCGAAGAAACUAGUCUUGUCUUGAAUUGGGAGAAGUGCCACUUUAUGGUUAAUGAAGGUAUUGUCUUGGGGCAUAAAAUUACUGAAAGAGGUAUUGAAGUUGAUAAAGGUAAGGUGGAUGCUAUUGAAAAGAUGUCGUGUCCCAAGGACAUCAAAGGUAUAAGAAGUUUUCUUGGUCAUGCCAGUUUUUAUAGGUGGUUCGUUAAAGACUUCUAAAAAAUUUCUAGGCCUCUGACUAAUCUAUUACAAAAAGUUGUUCCUUUUGUCUUUGAUGAUGAUUGUGUAGAAGCAUUUGAAAUAUUUAAGAAAGCCUUGAUUUCUACACCUAUUGUUCAGCCUCCUGAUUGGAAUUUACCCUUUGAAAUCAUGUGGGAUGCUAGUGAUUAUGCUGUAGGUGCUGUUCUAGGACAAAGAGUUGAUAAAAAAUUAAAUGUUAUCCAAUAUGCUAGUAAAACUCUAGACAGUGCCCAGGAAAUUAUGCUACUACUGAAAAAGAAUUUUUAGCAGUUGUGUUUGCUUGUGAUAAGUUCAGACCUUGUAUUGGUGAUUCCAAAGUAACUGUUCACACUGAUCAUGCUGCUAUUAAAUACCUUGUGGAGAAGAAAUAUGAUAAACCUAGACUUAUUAGAUUGGUUCUCUUGCUAAAAGAAUUUGAUUUGCAUAUUAUUGAUAGAAAGGGAGCUGAGAAUCCCGUUGCGGACAACUUAUCUAGGUUAGAGAAUGUUCUUGAUGACCCACUACCUAUUGAUGAUAGCUUUCCUGAUGAACAAUUGGCUAUCACAAAUGCUUCUCAUAUUGCUCCAUGGUAUGCUAAUUAUGCUAAUUACAUUGUUGCUAAAUUUAUACCACCUAGUUUCACAUACCAGCAAAAGAAAAUGUUUUUCUAUUAUUUAAGACAUUACUUCUGGGAUGACCCACAUCUUUAUAAAGAAAGAGUAGAUUGUGUUAUUAGAUGUUGUGUACCUGAGCAUGAACAAGAACAUAUCCUACGCAAGUGUCACUCCGAGGCAUAUGGAGGGCACCACGCUGGAGAUAGAACUGCACAUAAGGUAUUGCAAUCCGGUUUUGAUUGGCCUACUCUUUUCAAAUAUGCCUGUAAGUUUGUAUUGUCUUGCGAUGAAUGUCAAAGAAUUGGUAAUAUUAGUAGACAUCAAGAAAUGCCUAUUAACUAUUCACUUGUUAUUGAACCAUUUGAUGUUUGGGGCUUUGAUUAUAUGGGACCGUUUCCUUCCUCUAAUGGAUAUACACAUAUUUUAGUUGUUGUUGAUUAUGUUACUAACUGGGUAGAAGCUAUUCCAACUAGUAGUGUUGAUCAUAACACUUCUAUUAAGAUGCUUAAAGAAGUUAUUUUUCCGAGGUUUGGAGUCCCUUGAUACUUAAUGACUGAUGGUGGUUCACAUUUUAUUCAUGGUGCUUUUAGUAAGAUGCUUGCUAAGUACGAUGUUAAUCAUAGAAUUGCAUCUCCAUAUCAUCACAGUCUAGCGAUCAAGUAGAACUGAGUAAUAGAGAGCUUAAAUUAAUUUUGCAAAAGACUGUUAAUAGAUCUAGAAAGAAUUGGUCCAAGAAACUUGAUGAUGCAUUAUGGGCCUAUAUAACUGCAUAUAAAAAUCCUAUGGGUAUGUCUCUGUAUAAAAUGGUUUAAGGAAAAGCAUGUCACUUACCUCUCGAACUAGAACAUAAGGCAUAUUGGGCCAUUAAAGAGCUCAAUUAUGAUUUCAAACUUGCCGGUGAGAAGAGGUUAUUUGACAUAAGCUCACUUGAUGAAUGGAGAACCCAUGCUUAUGAGUAUGCCAAACUAUUUAAAGAAAAAGUUAAAAGAUGGCAUGACAAAAGGAUACAAAAGCGUGAGUUUAAUGUAGGUGAUUAUGUUUUGCUAUACAACUCUCGUUUAAGAUUUUUCGCAGGAAAACUUCUUUCUAAAUGGGAAGGUCCUUACGUUCUCGAGGAGGUCUAUCAUUUCGGUGCCAUAAAAAUCAACUACUUCGAAGGCACAAAUCCAAAGGUGGUGAACGGUCAAAGAAUCAAAAACAUUAUAUCUCAGGUAAUCCAUAAAUGUUGAAACCAAUGUUAUUGACACCGUAACCCCGGAGGAGUACAUAAGGGACACUUUCCAGAAUGUUUCAGACUCCAAAAAGGAAUAGGUAUGUGGUAUGGUAAGUAAGCCGGAUCCAAAACAGUUCUAAUAACAUUUUUUUCUCUGUUUUGGAAUAUUUAAGAAAAUAGGAAAAUAAGAAGUAGUCCGGAAAGGACACCAGGCGUCCACGAGGGUGGAGGGCGUGCCCUACCCCCCUGGGUGCGCCCCCCUGCCUCGUGGGCACCUCGUGUGCCAUCCGGACUCUGUUUUCUUGCAUGAUACUUCUUUUGGUCGGUAAAAAUUCAUUAUAUAAUCUCCCGAAGGUUUUGACCAUCGUACCAUGAUGAAAUCCUAAGUUUCUUGUUUUGAGUUGUUUCUGCCGCAGAUUAGAGAAAUUUGUUGUCCCCCUCCUCUAACGAUGUGGGCAACGAUGCUUGGCUAAUGAACAUAGAGACAAAGCGAGAAGAAAUCAGGGAAAUCAAGGAAGGUGACAAGAUCAAGGAGGUCGCAAAGGAGCAAGUCCCAACAGUAGAAGAAAUAGGCUUCUCUCAACCUUACUACAAUCAUCUCACCCCAACUGAGAUUGAAGCUUUCAAGAUGAUUGAGCUUGCUCGCAUACAAAAUAAUUAUCUCACACGUGAAAAUAUUUUGUUGCAAGAGCAUAUCAUCGCACACAAGGGCAUUAUCCGCAAGUUGGAGGAUCUCCUACGCUCGAUGUGCGACUACCUGUCUUCAACAACUCCAUGAUCACCACCUCCGAAGAAAGAGACGUAAUCACAUGGGUAUGGGCACUCCCCUUGGCAACUGCCAAUCUUGGGGGAGGUGCCCCAAUAUCGGAUCACCAACAUACUCCUAUCUUUACCAUUUUUCUUAGUUCGAUCCUUUUCGUUAUAUGUUGAUCUAGUAGAAUAAAGUUUUAGUAUGAUCUAGCUUUGAGUUUUUGUGUUGAUCCCUAUCUAUGUAAUCGAGUCCGCGAGCCAUAUAUAAUAAAGAUUAAUUUUGAGUCGAGGGCUUUGCUAUCUUGCUAUGAUCUUGAGGGAAUAAAAGGAAAGGAAAGAAUAAAAAGAAACAAAAGGAUCAUAUUGACCUUAUGGAAGGUAAUGACUUCACAUAUAAAGAGUAUGAUGAAUAAAAGUUUUUGAGAGUUGACAAACACAGUUUUGGUCAUUGUUGCAAUUAAUAGGAAGUAAUAAAGAAAGAGAGGUUGUCACAUAUAAAUAUACUAUCUUGGACAUCUUUUAUGAUUGUGAGCACUCAUUAAAGUAUGACAUGCUAAAAA
Molecule: long non-coding RNA, 40673 nt
Filed under: Triticum aestivum (bread wheat)
Lineage: Eukaryota; Viridiplantae; Streptophyta; Magnoliopsida; Poales; Poaceae
Description: long non-coding RNA (TAES_LNC003241)
Source: RNAcentral